Molecule: transfer RNA, 78 nt
Filed under: Gammaproteobacteria bacterium
Lineage: Bacteria; Pseudomonadati; Pseudomonadota; Gammaproteobacteria
Description: tRNA-Pro
Rfam family: tRNA
About the family: Transfer RNA (tRNA) molecules are approximately 80 nucleotides in length. Their secondary structure includes four short double-helical elements and three loops (D, anti-codon, and T loops). Further hydrogen bonds mediate the characteristic L-shaped molecular structure. tRNAs have two regions of fundamental functional importance: the anti-codon, which is responsible for specific mRNA codon recognition, and the 3' end, to which the tRNAs corresponding amino acid is attached (by aminoacyl-tRNA synthetases). tRNAs cope with the degeneracy of the genetic code in two manners: having more than one tRNA (with a specific anti-codon) for a particular amino acid; and 'wobble' base-pairing, i.e. permitting non-standard base-pairing at the 3rd anti-codon position.
Source: RNAcentral
CUGGGUGUAGCUCAGCUUGAUAAGAGUACUCCGCCUGGAACGGAGAGGCCGCAGGUUUAAAUCCUGCCACCCAGACCA